GGCUGGUCCAAGUGCAGUGGUGUUUACAACUAGUAGAUCACAACCAGUUACAUAUCUCUUUGUUCCUUCUCCAUUCCCACUGCUUCACUUGACUAGCCUUUA
Unclassified non-coding RNA from Nomascus leucogenys (northern white-cheeked gibbon), 102 nucleotides. It matches the Rfam family "Y RNA". From Rfam's summary of the family: Y RNAs are components of the Ro ribonucleoprotein particle (Ro RNP), in association with Ro60 and La proteins. The record is from Ensembl. NCBI's taxonomy places the organism in Eukaryota, Metazoa, Chordata, Mammalia, Primates, Hylobatidae.